Molecule: long non-coding RNA, 701 nt
Organism: Musa acuminata AAA Group (dessert banana)
Lineage: Eukaryota; Viridiplantae; Streptophyta; Magnoliopsida; Zingiberales; Musaceae
Exons: 2
Source: RefSeq, a predicted model, not a curated record
ACUCCAUUAAAUCCCCUCACAAGGGAGACAAACUGCCCACCCACCUCCACUCCCUCAGCCUGUUCCUGGAGUGCACCGCACACUGCCCUCUUUCUUUAAAGCCCCCUCCCCCGUCCUUGCCACCUUCUCACAAGAAAGGAGAGCUGUUGGCAGCAGCUUAGAAUGGUGGUGAUGAUAAGAUGGCUGGUCUAAGCGUUCUCUUGGAAGCACAAAACAACUCGCCAACACACAGCCAUCUCCUCAUAAGCCAAACCUCCCUCGGAAAGAACACCUCUUCUUCCUUCUCUACGAGCUCUUUUCUGGAGCACUGCUUCCUUUGCAGGAGGAGACUACAGGAAGGCAGCGAUAUCUUUAUGUACAGGGGGGAUCGGGCGUUCUGCAGCGAGGAGUGCCGGUGCCGCCACAUGUUUGUAGACGAGGAGAGCCGGAGGGCGGAGCAUUGCUCCUCCGCCGCCCCCGCAUCUGCCGCCGGAAAGGGACGGGCCAGACCCGGUGGUUUCGCGUACUAGUAGUAGUUGCAGCAGCCGCAAGAAGCUGAACUGCGUGUUUCGUGUUAUGACAUAAAUACCCUCUUCUUUUCCUUAAAUUCCCUCCGCCUCGAUCCCUAUCUUAAGGACUUUGCUGUUCAUAUUCUUUUUGGCUGUGUUGUUUAUGCAUUACUUUAAGAAGUGAUUAAGAAGUUGAAAACAAUUAUACUAUUA